UCUUUAAUGGAGAGUUUGAUCCUGGCUCAGGACGAACGCUGGCGGCGUGCCUAAUACAUGCAAGUCGAGCGGGAUUAUAUAGAAGCUUGCUUCUAUAUAAUCUAGCGGCGGACGGGUGAGUAACACGUAGGCAACCUGCCCACAAGACAGGGAUAACGACAGGAAACGGAAGCUAAUACCAGAUAAACCAUUU
This 193-nucleotide ribosomal RNA is filed under the name Paenibacillus jamilae. Its description in RNAcentral is "partial 16S ribosomal RNA". It matches the Rfam family "Bacterial small subunit ribosomal RNA", at positions 1 to 183 of the family's 1533-position model. Lineage: Bacteria; Bacillati; Bacillota; Bacilli; Caryophanales; Paenibacillaceae. The record is from RNAcentral.